GUAAGUUAUGCUAUUAUAUAGAAGAUUCGAGGGAUGGUGGGGCGGCGUUCUGCACUCUUGCCGUGCAAGGAACGAUGGCGUCGGCGUCAGAGAAGAAGAGAUGGCUUCCCCUGGAAGCAAACCCCGAUGUGAUGAACCAGUUCAUUUGGGGUCUCGGGGUCCCGGAGGACGUAGCUGAGUUCAAUGACGUGUAUGGCUUGGACGAGGAGCUCUUGGAGAUGGUCCCGAAGCCUGUGCUCGCCGUGCUGUUUCUUUUCCCUUACUCCAAGGAGGCUGAAGCUGAGAGGAUAUCCAAUCAAGGGAAGGCAUCGGGGAAUGAAAAGAAGAAACCAAGUGAGAAGGUGUACUUCUUGAAACAAACUGUGGGUAAUGCUUGUGGAACAAUUGGUGUUCUUCAUGCUUUAGGAAAUGCGAGUUCACAUAUCAAAUUCAUUGAGGAAUCAUUUUUGGAUAGGUUUUAUAAAUCAACAGCCAGCUUGGAUCCAUUUGAGCGUGCUGCCUUUCUGGAAAAAGACAGAGAAAUGGAGGAUGCACAUUCUGUUGCAGCUACUGCUGGGGACACAGAGGCUUCUUCAGAAGUGGAUGAACACUAUAUUUGCUUUACAUGUAUAGAUGGAGAACUUUAUGAGCUUGAUGGAAUGAAAUCCCAACCUAUAAGUCAUGGUCCUUCAUCGCCUGACAGCUUAUUGCAGGAUGCAGCGAAGGUUAUAAAAGCUCUGAUCUUGAAGAACCCCGACUCAAUGAACUUCAAUGUCAUGGCUCUGUCGAAAAAUUCAGGAUGAUCGAUCUGAUAUCGCACUAAUUUUGCUGUCUACUAUCUAAUCCAGCACAUACUCGUCGGAUAUUAUGUUUUGUAGUAGCGGCAAAUUGACGUCACCCCUUACUGAGAUUUUGUAUUCGCAGGAUCCUGAUAUCGAUGAUGACUGGUCUCUGAGCCUCUGUAUUGAAUUCAAGCAUCAGGAGGUAGCUUUGAUUUCAACAUCAUCAUCACCAGGAGAAUCAACAAAGGUAGACGCGAUGGCUCAUUCCACUUGACACCAGGUGUUUCAAUGCGACUCCGAGCAUCAAACCUGUGUGUUGUAUAGCGAAACCACGUCACUAAAGAACGGAUCUCACCAGGAUGCAUAGAACCACAUAAACCCCGUAUCGCUGCAGGAAGUAAAAGGAAGAAAGGAAAACCUAGCAAGAGGCCGCCGUAUAUCUGGGAGGCCUUCUUCCCCGAGGUGAGGGAGUUGCCUCCCAGCCCGAACUGCUGGUUCUGCGCGAGCCCCGCGAUCUCCACACUCUCGAAGGACUUGGCGGACCCGCAGGUCGGCCACCUCCAGUCGUCGGGAAGCUUCCGAACUGUAACCCGGGUGGAAUCGGGUACGACGACGGGUUGCCGGUGGCCUCGUCGUAGCGGUACCUGCAGGAUCGGCACUCGUAGAUGCCGGUGUUGAGCAUCGCGAACCGCUCCUCGUGACGGCGAGGGUCGAGCUUCUUCACAUCCUCGUCUGGUGGUGCUGGCUGAGGCGAUCGGCUGUUGCUGCUGUCCUCCGGUUGGGAGGACAGGGGCUUGUCCUCCUUGGAGACAUCGAUGGAGAACCUGGCAGGUUGGUUUCUUGAAGCUCUCAUAGGAGAGGAAGAGGCAGAAAGGACUCAAAAGUGAGGCAGGGCAGAGGGAGGCUGGUGUUCGUGGGCUUGGAGGAGUAAAGACGGUGGAGGCAGUGGAAAGGGGUGGUCAGUCUUGCUGAGGCCAUCUCUUCUAUUUUCUCUCUAGAAUCAGAUGUGAGGUUUCAUCAAAGAAUCGAGAGGGUUCCGAAAGGGGAACGGGGAAUCUGUUGCGAGCGAUUUGCUUGUCCACUCUGUUUCUGGCAGGGAAGGGAGAAGGGGCGCAGAAGGGCGGGAGGAGAAUCAGGUGCGGUGAUGAAACACGACACCACCAGCAGAAUCCCCCGCAUGUGGAACGAGGAACCUGAUCGGCCACACGUCACUCACUCAAGAGUGCAACCGUGCGAACAAGAGUCCCGUAUGAGCCCGAUUUGUGGAACGGAUCUUAACCGGAUCACAACUCGGGCUGCGCCUGAUUUGAUAUCCCGGGCAACCCCGUCUGACGAUGAUCUAUAUUUACGACGCAAAUAUCAGACGGUGAUACACGUCGCAUCAUGUUGCACGACAACUAAAUCAAGAAACAUUUCUAUUGCACCA
This is an RNA transcript of Musa acuminata AAA Group (dessert banana), 2187 nucleotides long. It is a transcript of the gene named ubiquitin carboxyl-terminal hydrolase 3-like, with no coding region annotated. NCBI's taxonomy places the organism in Eukaryota, Viridiplantae, Streptophyta, Magnoliopsida, Zingiberales, Musaceae. The transcript has 10 exons. The record is from RefSeq and is a predicted model, not a curated record.